RNAcentral lists this long non-coding RNA (5961 nucleotides) under Gossypium barbadense (sea-island cotton). Its description in RNAcentral is "long non-coding RNA (GBAR_LNC002557)". The record is from RNAcentral. Lineage: Eukaryota; Viridiplantae; Streptophyta; Magnoliopsida; Malvales; Malvaceae.
UUUUUGUUAUCUUCAAUAUUUAAUUAAAAAAUUAAUUAAAAAUAAUAAAAAAUAUAAAAUUUUGAAAUUACAUGUAAAACCACAAUUACUAUUAAUGCAUCCAAAUAACUAUAACUGAAAUUAAAUAUUAUAAAAUACGAUGAUAUUAAAAAUAAAAAACAUAUCCAAUCCAUUAAGUUAAAUGUAUUUUACGCUAAAGGAGUAAAUGUCUUUUACCAAAAGAUCCAAGAGUGCUUUGCUUAGCAUCCUAGUAAAAAUAGUCUUUUCUGUGGCUUGGUAUGACGGAAAGUGGUGGUGUCGACGGUUUCGAAGGGGAGGAAACCUCCCUCCUGGCAGAAGAACUUAUUCAAUUAUCGGUAAAAAGCUCAAUGAUUGUACCAAGUGAAAAGCCAACUCUACUCUGUACUAUCUGGACAAAGAAGUCCUAUAAUCCGGAUAGCUUCAGGGCACAAAUGAAAAGUAUAUGAAAAACAAGGAAAAAAUUUAAGAUCCAAUUGGCAGGACAAAAUUUAUUCUUGAUCGUGUUUGAAGAUGAGGAAGAUUUGGAGAUAGUUUUGGAGGGCAGCCAUGGUUAUUUCGAAAGAAUUUAGUGCUUUUUAAUUGGUUGACUAAACCGAUAGAGGGAAGCCAUAUCCGACUUAAUUCAUCCCUGUUUUGGAUUAAGAUUUGUCCAUGUUUACUAGAAUUUGACAAACAAGAUUUAUUGCAUGCUAUUGGAUUCACUUUUGGGGGCGUUCUUAGAUCUAAAGUUAAUGGUGAGUUUUUCGUAUUAGAAUUCAAUUAGAUGUGUAGAAACCUUACGCAGGGGUAUCUUCGUCUCAAUAGUAGUUUUGGAUCUCUUUUAAGUAUGAAAAACUACUUACAUUCUACUUUGGCUAUAGGAAGAUGGGGCAAGGCCUUUAAAAAUGCAUUGAAUUAGCCCUUGCAAAAAAAUAAAAUUAAAGAUAAUCCUCGUUUCUCUCUAGCAUUAAAGGCAGAGUUAAAUUUAAUUAGAAAAGAGAGUUUAAAGUUUAAUGCCCUAUUGAAGAAGAUGCAACCUCAAUGCUCAUAUGUGGGUACUUUGGAGAAGAUUCUUGGGCUGAAUUCACAAGAGGAGACAGCAAGUGAUAUGAUCCAGAAUUAUCCAAGAUAGUUCAAAAUAUGCAAAAUCAGAGAAAGAGAUAAAGUUGCUAAAGGAAGAGAGGCCCGUGGAAGAGAAAUUGAAUGGGAAACAGAAUAAUGUGUAGAAUUUUUUAAACCAGCCAAGAAAUCUAACUGGAAAAGAUUCGAGGCAGUAAGAAUGGUGGAUCAUUAUAGCAAAGAUAGCUUAUUGAGAAAGAGGAAAUCAAUAGAUAUGGAAAUUGGAGAAGAAUGCACAGGACAAGCCGGUGAAGAUGCAGCAAAAAGGUUGAAGCAUGACGAACUAGAUUUGCUCACUAAAAUAGACACAAACUUGUUGGCUGAAAAUCUUCAACUAGUUAAUUCUCCAACCCAAAACAAAUCGGCAGCUGCCAAAAGGCAAACCGACCGAGCACAAUGAAAACCAUAUGCUGAAAUGUCUGUGGAUAGUGGAGUCCACGGGUAGUACGAAAGCUUUGGUAUUUACUGAAGCAACACAAGCCUGAACUAGUCUUCUUGAUGAAAACCAAAAUUGAUGAAAAGCACAUGAAGAAAAUUAAGAGAAGAUGCAGUUUUGCAUAUGGGAUCGAUAUAGGAGCAAAAAGCUUUCGAGGUGGAAUUUGUCUAGCAUUAAAAACAGAAAUUACUGUAUGUCUUAAAAACUUCUCAAAAAGUCAUAUUGAUAUGCUAGUCAAGGAGGCCAGUGUUGAUGAAUAGUGGAGAUUUACAGGGUUUUAUGGUUCACCCUAUGUUAAUAACAAGAACGCUUCAUGAGAUUUGCUGAGGAAGUUGAGUCAAGAGCAAAAUCACCCUUGGCUGGUAUGUGGCGAUUUCAAUGAAAUAAGGUACUCUUUUGAAAAGAGUGGAGGUUAACCAAUGGAGGAGAAAAGAAUGGAAGUGUUCCGAGAGGUUCUAGAGGAAUGUCAAUUAAUAAACUUCAGCUAUUCGGGGGUAUAGUUCACGUGGGAAAGAGAGAACCUACUAGAAACAAAUAUUAAAGAAAAGCUGGAUAUGGGCAUUGCAAAUGAAAAAUGGAUGCAUCUCUUUCCAAAAGGUAAUAUUCAUCAUUUAACACUCAAUUUCAAACCAUUGUCCCCUUUUUAUCAAUUCUAAUAAUGAGAAGAGGCAAAAAGGGUUCCCAAGUUUUAAAUUUGAGGCGUGGUGGACUAUAGAGGAAUCUAUCGAACGAGAAAUCAAAAAAUCUUGGGAGUCAUCAAAUGGGUCCAUUAUUGAAAAACUUGAGCAGUUGCAAAUUAACUUGACAAGAUGGGCAAGCUCAUUGAAGAAAAGUCGAGAUGGUUUGAAGAAUAUGAUCACAAAGGAACUUAAAGAUCUAAUGGCAAAGGAUAGGGAUGAUGACACAAUGGCAAAGCUAAUUGAUACCAGAAUUAGGCUUAAUAUGGAGAUUGAUAAAGAUUAAAUGUAUUGAGAACAAAGGGCACGAGCAAAUUGGCUUCAAUUAAAAGAUAAAAAUUUUACCUUCUUCCACAAUUAUGCCUCAGUUCUUAGGCGAAUCAACACUAUUACUAGGUUGGAAUCAGAGGAAGGAAAGGAAAUUUAAAAUGAGUCAGCAACAAAUAAAACAACCUCUAGCUACUUCUAAAAUUUAUUUUCAUCUAAGGGAGUUGGGGAUUUAGCCCACCUGCUAGAAGAUAUAAAUACUAAUAUUUUGUCUGAUAUCAAUAUAGAUUUGCUUGCAAAAUAUACUACAGGAGAGGUUUUUUCAACUUUGAAAAGGGUUAGGCCCACUAAAGCUCCAAGAUGUGAUGGAUUUUCUGCAUUAUUAUUUUAAAAGUUCUGGCACAUUGUAAGAAAAGAUAUUGAAAGUUUCUAUUUGGGAAUUCUAAAUGAUGGGAAAGACUUCGAAUCUCUAAACCUUACGAAUAUUGUGCUUAUUCCGAAAACUCAAAAUCCCACUAGUUUUGUUAAUUUCAAACCCAUUAGUUUAUGCACAGUCAUAUACAAAAUUAUGGCUAAAACAAUUGUCUUCAAAAGCCAUUAAAAGAUGUAUUGACAACACUUAAAGUGCUUUUGUUCCUGGAAGGUUAAUCUUUGACAAUGUGCUAGUAGCCUACAAACUCUUACACACGUUACGCCAAAAUCGGAUCAGAAAAAAAAGAUUUUAUUGCAGUCAAAUUAGAUAUGAAUAAGGCUUAUGACAGAGUUGAGUAAGGUUUUCUAGGGAGAGUUAUGCUUUGUAUGGGAUUCACAAAGGAAUGGGUGGAUCUACUUAUGAGAUGUAUCUCUACAACCUCUUACACAGUAAAUAUUAAUAGGAUAAGAGGUAAUGUGUUCAAUCCCACUAGAGGAUUGUGUCAAGGUGACCCACUCAGCCCUUUUCUUUUUCUAAUAUAUAGUGAGGGACUUUCAGCUUUAAUAAGAAUAGCAAUAAAUGAAGGAAUGAUAAAGGGAGUGAAGGCUAAUAGAAGAGGAUCGAAAGUAUGGCAUUUAUUGUUUGCAGAUGACUGCAUUCUGUUUGGCAAAGCUACAAGAAAAGAAGCCACAAUUUUAAAAGAAAUUCUAAAUGAGUAUGAACAGUGUUCAGGCCAAUUCGUGAAUUUUAACAAAUCAAAGAUAUUUUAUAAUUCAAAUACAAUAAUAAGGGAUAGAGAGGAGAUAUCAAGUAUACUAGGUGUGAAAUGCUUUACCAAUUUGAAAAAAUACCCAAGACUCCUAACGUGGUAGAAAGACGAAAGAAAAAAGCCUUUCAGAACCUUAAAUAUAGAAUUAAUUCGAGAAUUGAAAGCUAGAGUACAAGGUUAUUGUCACAAGAGGGAAAAGAGGUCUUUAUAAAAUCGAUGCUUCAAGCAAUUCAAACUUAUGCUAUGUCUUGCUUUCUAUUACCAAAGUCUUUAUGCGAGGAGUUAGAAAGUAUUUUUGCUAAGUUUUGGUGGCAAAAAAGAAAAGGAAGGGAAUUCGCUGGUGCCAAUGGAAGUUUACGUGCCGAUCAAAAAAGGAGGGGGGAAUGGGCUUUAAAAGUAUGUCCCAAUUUAAUGUCUCUCUAUUAGCUAAGCAAGGGUAGAGGAUCAUCAAUAAUCAAGAUUCUUUGGUUACGUGUGUUCUUAAAGCCAAAUAUUUUCUGAAUGAUCAUUUUUUACAUUCUCAUUUGGGAAACUCAAGUUCUUAUAUAUGGAGGAGUUUAUGGGCAGCAAAAGGGAUUUUGGAAAAAGGAACAUGUUAAGGGGUUGGUACAGGUACAAAUAUUUCAAUAAUUGAUGAUGCAUGGAUUCUAAAUACAGUUAAUUUUAGAUUAACUUUCGUUGUUAAUUUUAUGCUAGAUUCUAAAGUUAGUGAGCUGAUCGAUAGUAAUGAGAGACUUUGGAAAAAAGAACUAAUAAGCAAUACCUUCUCAGAGGAAGAUGCUGGCAAAAUCCUUCGGAUCCCUCUGGCACGCACGCCUCACGACGAUCUUAUUGUCUAGGGAGGCGAAUACUUAGGAGAUUUUUCGGUUCGUAGCAUCUAUAAACUAUUACAAAAUUUGAAAGAUAAUCCUAGAGCUUAUGCUUUACAAACCGCCUACAGAAAUUUUUACAAAACACUUUGGCUUCUUAAUCUACCAACUAAAAUAAAUGUUAUAAUCUAGAGAAUCUCAUGGAACUAUUUGCCUACGAAGGUUAAUAUGCAUUACAGAAUGCUCGUCAACAAUACUAGAUGCCCCCGAUGUAAAGAAAGAACAGAAAUGAUCAAACCAUAUUUUUCGUUAAUGUCCUGUGGUAGUGGAAGUAUGGACAAUAUUAAAACUCUAGAAUAUUCUUAUGGAUAAUAGUAGAGAUUUUAUUCAGUGGAUUACCUGGACCUUUGAUCAGUUUACACCAAGCCAACGUCGCCUCUUCUGUUGCAGACUUUGGGCCAUCUGGGGAGAAAGAAACAAAAGAUUGCAUGAAAAGAAAAAUAGUACAGACCAAGACAUAGCUAACUUCAUCACCAACUACAUAGCUGAGCUUAAUGGUCUUGAAAGGAAAAAUCCAGAAAAGAGCAAGGAGAUUAGAAGAUGGAGUCACCCACCUAAGGAGUUUGUAAAGAUUAACUUCGAUGGCGCGUAUGAUGGGACUCUCCACUAGUCAACUUCAGGUAUUGUGGUCAGAAAUGAAGAAGGGGCAGUAUUAUUAUCUUGCUCGGAGAUUCAUCAAGGGGUUUUUUUCUGAUUUUGCGGCUGAAGCAAUAGCAUGCCGAAAAGUAGUCCAAGUGGGUUUUGAACAAGAUUGGCCGAAGAUCAUAGUCGAAGGUGACUCCCUCACAGUAAUAAAGAAAUGUAAAAGUAAGAGUCAAGAUCGAUCACAUAUUGGAGCAUAAAUAUCUACUAUUGAACAAGAAAUAAACAGAUCUAGAAGAUUCAAGUUCAAGCAUACACCAAGAUCUGCAAAUGCUCUUGCUCAUAUUUUGGCUACUGAAACAUUGAAAAGAAAAGAGAUGAUUUACCUGGAAAUGAGUGUCCCUAGGUAUGCUGAAAAUCAACAAAGGAUAGAGUGGCAGCGUGAACCAAACUAAGGAAGGAUCGAAGAAGAGGAGAACGAAGAGGAAAGCUAAAGAAGAGAAAAUGAAUUGGUUUUUGAAAAGAAACAACUUUCCCAAUAAAACUGAACCGUGAAAAGAAAAAGCUGAAAUGAUGUAUCAGAUGAUAGUAAAGGUUUCAGUUUUCUGAUUGGGCUUUAAUUAUGUGCAUUUAUUUUUUGAUUCUAGACUCUUCGGAAAUAUUUAGAUAUUUUAUGUUUGUUUUGGGCCAUUUUAGUUUGGGGUCGGUUAUUUAGUUUUAAGGUUUUCUGUUUUCGUUUUUUAGACCGUUUCUAUGUAUAAUUUUAUUAUUAUUUAUUACAAAGCCUAAUCUGGAAGUUUUUCAAAAAAAAAUGUCUUUUACCAAAAAAU